Molecule: long non-coding RNA, 1024 nt
Filed under: Equus caballus (horse)
Lineage: Eukaryota; Metazoa; Chordata; Mammalia; Perissodactyla; Equidae
Description: lncRNA (ENSECAG00000052727.1)
Source: RNAcentral
GGACAUAUCAAAUUAGUAUAAUUUUGAGGAAAGUCUGUAAGAUAAAUUUAUUUAACAUCAAAUCUGGUUUAGUGGAAAUCCCUCUAAUAAGGAGUGAGGUCAUGUCUCUUGCAAUGAAUCAUGUCCAUUAAAUUUAUCUUCUUUUCUGGAUGCUUUCCUUCCUUCAUUUAUUUGUCAUUUCCAAGUCUCUAAUUCUUGUUGAUUGCUCAAUUAAAUGAAAUCACUGAUUUUUUUUUUUUAAUUUUGAAGAGGGCAUGAAACUGAAGCCACAAAAUAUUAUCUAUAGCAACACAAGUCUGCUUUUAACUCCACAAUACUUUCUCCUACCCAAUUUUUUAAAAAGCAAAUGCCAACUUUAUUUUAUUCAAAACGCUCCCAAUAUUUGCAUUUGUAUAUCUCUUAUUUCAUACGCGUCUUCUCUCCUUUGCCAUCUUCCUACCCCUUUGAUACUGGGAACAAAAUAGGAAAGAUGGCUAUUCUUUAUUAUAAUAUUCCACUACCUGGAAAACUUCUUUAGGAUGAAAGAAAACCCUCCUCUCCACAUUGACUAAUUACUGAUUGAUCUUAGAUUUCUCUACUGCUCUCAUUUUCCUUUACUCCAAAAUUAUACACUACAAGAUCACAACUCUACUCAACUCCCACAUAUUUGCAAAGACAAUCUGAGGAGAUCUAUAAUCUCCUCAAGGGCUCUUUAAAAAGUCUCAUCUAUUCCAGGGCCUUGAGAUACGAUCCGAUAUAGGAUAUAUCAGGAUUUGAAGUCUAGAAUCAGAAUCAGAGUGAAUUUAACAAUGGAAGCAAACUUGGACAGCUCUCCAGUCCAGCGUCCUCCUUUUACACACGUGGAAACUAAGACCAGAGGGGCUGGACUGUCUAGGACGUUAUUUUACUUAAAAUUUCAUAAAGGAUAUUCAAACGAACAAUCAUAGAUCCUAAUUAAAGAAAUCUUGAAGACAAAAGGUAAGCCGUGUUUAUAACAGUUGGCCUUUUUCAAUUACUUUAAAAUAUUUCUCAUCUCAGAGGAAAC